Molecule: ribosomal RNA, 484 nt
Filed under: uncultured bacterium
Lineage: Bacteria
Description: partial 16S ribosomal RNA
Rfam family: Bacterial small subunit ribosomal RNA
Source: RNAcentral
GAUGAACGCUGGCGGCGUGCUUAACACAUGCAAGUCGAACGGUGAAGCAGGAGCUUGCUCUUGUGGAUCAGUGGCGAACGGGUGAGUAACACGUGAGCAACCUGCACCUGACUCUGGAAUAAGCGCUGGAAACGGCGUCUAAUACUGGAUAUGUGAUGUGACCGCAUGGUCUGCAUCUGGAAAGAAUUUCGGUUGGGGAUGGGCUCGCGGCCUAUCAGCUUGUUGGUGAGGUAAUGGCUCACCAAGGCGUCGACGGGUAGCCGGCCUGAGAGGGUGACCGGCCACACUGGAACUGAGACACGGCCCAGACCCCUACGGGAGGCAGCAGCGGGGAAUAUUGCACAAUGGGCGGAAGCCUGAUGCAGCAACGCCGCGUGAGGGAUGACGGCCUUCGGGUUGUAAACCUCUUUUAGCAGGGAAGAAGCGAAAGUGACGGUACCUGCAGAAAAAGCACCGGCUAACUACGUGCCAGCCGCCGCAGUAA